Molecule: long non-coding RNA, 453 nt
Organism: Ipomoea nil (Japanese morning glory)
Lineage: Eukaryota; Viridiplantae; Streptophyta; Magnoliopsida; Solanales; Convolvulaceae
Exons: 2
Source: RefSeq, a predicted model, not a curated record
UGAUAAUAAAUUAAAAUUGUACUGUUUCCUUCUUUCAUCAUAUAUAUCAUCCCAUCCAGAUGGAAUAAAGAUCAAGAUUCCAGGACAUGUGCUACUUAGUAAUAGGAUUGUACGGUGCCGAAGCAACGUUGAAGUAUUUAUAUUGCGAGAAGCAGAUCUUGAAGAAGUCAUUUCUUUGUUUACAAGAUUCUUGAGGAACCCCCGUGUUCAGGGUGCCAUAAGGUAUGAAUCUCCUUAUUGGCAAGCCCUGGCAGCACGCUGCAUUCAAGUUGCAUGGAGAUAUAGAAAGAAAUGUCUAAGUCGAGCAGACACCAACAAUCCAUCACAACAAAAUUUAGUAGGAAUAUAAUGAAAGUUAGAUCAGGUAGUCUAGAUGGAGUAACAUCUGAAUUUUAUUAUGGAUACUCGAAUUAUUGUAUUUAAACACAAAUUUAGUAAUAAUCCAAUCAAAAU